This 281-nucleotide unclassified non-coding RNA is filed under the name Melitaea cinxia (Glanville fritillary). RNAcentral describes it as "misc RNA ENSMCXG00005001380.1". Lineage: Eukaryota; Metazoa; Arthropoda; Insecta; Lepidoptera; Nymphalidae. The record is from RNAcentral.
CGUCACCAGUUCCCCCCGCGACAUCGAAGCGGACGCACGUUCUGAAGUUUUGGCGCCAUCCCGGUGCGUGAGACCGGUGUCACCGAUUAUCAUGUCAUUCGAAAAUGAACAGCGUCGGCUCGAGUCUCUUCUACAAGAAGUACUCGAUGAGGACGGGCCAUCAACGCCAUCAGACAUCGCCAUCAGACAAGUGCAAAAAAUAUUUGUGUCUUGAACAUGUAGUGCCUUUCUGCAGAAGCUGUUUGACUGAAGAAUAGUCAUUUUUUAUAUUUUUUUUUGUU